GAUGAGAGAGAGAGAGGCAGCAGAUGGAUUGUUAACAGAGGAUGGGAGGGAGAACAAAAGACCUCAACUUUCAGCCAAGAGGCAAGCAUUCGAAGAGGAGGGAUGAAGGCAGGCUGGGGAGGAGAAGACUGGUUGUCCACACUGAUCCCAAGGUUGUCCCGGAUCUCUUGUGCCAGAGCUCAUAGAGAUAGGAGAAGACCUUGGCAUGGAUUUUUGGGCAGCGGAUGCUGUUGACAUCGCCCAGGAUACCCAGUAUCCUCCUCCAAAGGACG
Molecule: long non-coding RNA, 272 nt
Organism: Xiphias gladius (swordfish)
Lineage: Eukaryota; Metazoa; Chordata; Actinopteri; Istiophoriformes; Xiphiidae
Exons: 3
Source: RefSeq, a predicted model, not a curated record